GGGAACGUACCCUUCGGUUCGGAAUAACUCAGGGAAACUUGAGCUAAUACCGGAUACGCCCUUUUGGGGAAAGGUUUACUGCCGAAAGAUCGGCCCGCGUCUGAUUAACUUGUUGGUGGGGUAACGGCCUACCAAGGCGACGAUCAGUAGCUGGUCUGAGAGGAUGAUCAGCCACACUGGGACUGAGACACGGCCCAGACUCCUACGGGAGGCAGCAGUGGGGAAUAUUGGACAAUGGGCGCAAGCCUGAUCCAGCCAUGCCGCGUGAGUGAUGAAGGCCUUAGGGUUGUAAAGCUCUUUUGUCCGGGACGAUAAUGACGGUACCGGAAGAAUAAGCCCCGGCUAACUUCGUGCCAGCAGCCGCGGUAAUACGAAGGGGGCUAGCGUUGCUCGGAAUCACUGGGCGUAAAGGGCGCGUAGGCGGCCGAUUAAGUCGGGGGUGAAAGCCUGUGGCUCAACCACAGAAUUGCCUUCGAUACUGGUUGGCUUGAGACCGGAAGAGGACAGCGGAACUGCGAGU
This 520-nucleotide ribosomal RNA is filed under the name uncultured bacterium. RNAcentral's name for it is "bacterial SSU rRNA". It matches the Rfam family "Bacterial small subunit ribosomal RNA", at positions 120 to 674 of the family's 1533-position model. The record is from RNAcentral.